UGAGCAACCUGCCCUUAGCUCUGGGUUAACCCCGGGAAACCGGGGCUAAUACCGGAUAUGAGUCCGAGCGGCAUCACGCGGACUGGAAAGUUUUUCGGCUAAGGAUGGGCUCGCGGCCUAUCAGCUUGUUGGUGGGGUAAUGGCCUACGAAGGCGACGACGGGUAGCCGGCCUGAGAGGGCGACCGGCCACACUGGGACUGAGACACGGCCCAGACUCCUACGGGAGGCA
RNAcentral lists this ribosomal RNA (230 nucleotides) under uncultured bacterium. RNAcentral describes it as "partial 16S ribosomal RNA". It matches the Rfam family "Bacterial small subunit ribosomal RNA", at positions 118 to 350 of the family's 1533-position model. The record is from RNAcentral.